UGAUGACUAGUGCCUUGAGGCCUGGCCACUAGAAUAAUAGGUCAUCAUAAAUUAAAAUUUCACUUUCUUCACUCAGAGAAAAUUGGGAUAAUGGGGUUAUCUGUUUAUUCUCUUAAUUUUGGGGAAUCAAACACUG
RNAcentral lists this small nucleolar RNA (136 nucleotides) under Myotis davidii. RNAcentral's name for it is "Small nucleolar RNA SNORA79". It matches the Rfam family "Small nucleolar RNA SNORA79". From Rfam's summary of the family: ACA65 (SNORA79) is a member of the H/ACA class of snoRNAs that guide the sites of modification of uridines to pseudouridines. This snoRNA was identified by computational screening and its expression in mouse experimentally verified by Northern blot and primer extension analysis. The record is from Rfam by way of RNAcentral. Lineage: Eukaryota; Metazoa; Chordata; Mammalia; Chiroptera; Vespertilionidae.